GUCGUACGGGCCUAGCAAUAGGUCAGUGGCGAACGGGAGAGUAAUGAAUCGCUAAUGUGCCCCGGACUCUGGGAUAGCUUUCCGAAAGGAAAGGUAAUACCAGAUGAGACCACGAACAGGCAUCUGUUUGUGCUCAAAGGUCCGCCGGUCUGGGAGCAGGCGAUUUCGUAUCAGCUAGUUGGUGAGGUAACGGCUCACCAAGGCGACGACGCGUAGCCGGACUGAGAGGUUGGCCGGCCUCAUUGGGACUGAGACACUGCCCAGACUCCUACGGGGGGCUGCAGUAACGAAUCUUCCGCAAUGCACGAAAGUGUGACGGAGCGACGCCGCGUGUAGGACGAAGCCCUUCGGGGUGUAAACUACUGUCAGGGGUUAGAAAGUUCUGAUCAACCCCAGAGGAAGGGACGGCUAACUCUGUGCCAGCAGCCGCGGUAAGACAGAGGUCCCGAGCGUUAGGCGGAAUCACUGGGCUUAAAGCGUGUGUAGGCGGAUUCCUAAGUGCCUUGUGAAAUCCCACGGCUCAACCGUGGAACUGCUUGGCAUACUGGGUGUCUUGAGCCAACUAGGGGCGAGCGGAACAAAUGGUGGAGCGGUGAAAUGCGUAGAUAUCAUUUGGAACGUCAAUGGUGAAAACAGCUCGCUGGGGUUGUGCUGACGCUGAGACACGAAAGCCAGGGGAGCGAACGGGAUUAGAUACCCCGGUAGUCCUGGCCAUAAACGAUGUCCACUAGAUCGUAGGUUCUCUGACGUUCUUACGGUCGAAGCCAAAGUGCUAAGUGGACCGCCUGGGAAGUACGGUCGCAAGGCUAAAACUCAAGAAAUUGACGGGGGCUCACACAAGCGGUGGAGCAUGUGGUUCAAUUCGAAGCAACGCGCAGAACCUUACCUGGGUUUGACAUGCCUGGAUUAUUCCGUGAAAGCGGGAUAGCCCUUCGGGUACACUGGCACAGUGCUGCAUGCUGUCGUCAGCUCGGGUCG
RNAcentral lists this ribosomal RNA (978 nucleotides) under uncultured Planctomycetota bacterium. RNAcentral describes it as "bacterial SSU rRNA". It matches the Rfam family "Bacterial small subunit ribosomal RNA", at positions 61 to 1067 of the family's 1533-position model. Lineage: Bacteria; Pseudomonadati; Planctomycetota. The record is from RNAcentral.